AGUCGAUGAAAAGCGCAGCCAACUGUGUGAAUUAAUGUGAACUGCAUAUUGCUUUGAACAUCGACAACUUGAACGCACAUUGCGGCCAUGGGCUCGCCUGUGGCCACGUCUGUUCGAGGGUCG
RNAcentral lists this ribosomal RNA (123 nucleotides) under Antorchis pomacanthi. RNAcentral's name for it is "partial 5.8S ribosomal RNA". It matches the Rfam family "5.8S ribosomal RNA", at positions 33 to 154 of the family's 154-position model. From Rfam's summary of the family: 5.8S ribosomal RNA (5.8S rRNA) is a component of the large subunit of the eukaryotic ribosome. It is transcribed by RNA polymerase I as part of the 45S precursor that also contains 18S and 28S rRNA. The record is from RNAcentral. Lineage: Eukaryota; Metazoa; Platyhelminthes; Trematoda; Plagiorchiida; Zoogonidae.